UGGAGACUCAGAAGAGAGCUCUGACUCAACUGAAGGACACUAUAGAGCUGAAGUGGAUGCAGCAGUAUGCAGUGGAUGUGACUCUGGAUCCUGAUACAGCUCAUCCUAAACUCAUUCUGUCUGAUGAUGG
Molecule: long non-coding RNA, 130 nt
Organism: Sinocyclocheilus rhinocerous
Lineage: Eukaryota; Metazoa; Chordata; Actinopteri; Cypriniformes; Cyprinidae
Exons: 3
Source: RefSeq, a predicted model, not a curated record